GAUGAAGAACGUAGCGAAAUGCGAUAAGUAAUGUGAAUUGCAGAAUUCAGUGAAUCAUCGAAUCUUUGAACGCACAUUGCGCCCGCUAGUAUUCUGGCGGGCAUGCCUGUCCGAGCGUCAUUUCAACCCUCAGGCCCCCGGGCCUGGCGUUGGGGAUCGGCGGAAGCCCCCUGCGGGCACAACGCCGUCCCCCAAAUACAGUGGCGGUCCCGCCGCAGCUUCCAUUGCGUAGUAGCUAACACCUCGCAACUGGAGAGCGGCGCGGCCACGCCGUAAAACACCCAACUUCUGAAUGUUGACCUCGAAUCAGGUAGGAAUACCCGCUGAACUUAAGCAUAUCAAUAAGCGGAGGA
RNAcentral lists this unclassified non-coding RNA (353 nucleotides) under soil metagenome. RNAcentral's name for it is "partial contains 5.8S ribosomal RNA, internal transcribed spacer 2, and large subunit ribosomal RNA". The stretch from base 1 to 120 matches the Rfam family "5.8S ribosomal RNA", at positions 35 to 154 of the family's 154-position model. The record is from RNAcentral.